This 253-nucleotide ribosomal RNA is filed under the name uncultured bacterium. RNAcentral's name for it is "partial 16S ribosomal RNA". It matches the Rfam family "Bacterial small subunit ribosomal RNA", at positions 524 to 776 of the family's 1533-position model. The record is from RNAcentral.
UACGUAGGGUGCAAGCGUUGUCCGGAUUUAUUGGGCGUAAAGAGCUCGUAGGCGGUUAGUCACGUCGGAUGUGAAAACCCAGUGCUUAACACUGGGCCUGCAUUCGAUACGGGCUGACUAGAGUGUUGUAGGGGAGACUGGAACUCCUGGUGUAGCGGUGAAAUGCGCAGAUAUCAGGAAGAACACCGGUGGCGAAGGCGGGUCUCUGGGCAACUACUGACGCUGAGGAGCGAAAGCGUGGGGAGCAAACAGG